Non-coding RNA from Podarcis lilfordi (Lilford's wall lizard), 9860 nucleotides. The record is from the annotation of a GenBank genome assembly. NCBI's taxonomy places the organism in Eukaryota, Metazoa, Chordata, Lepidosauria, Squamata, Lacertidae.
GUCCAGGAGAAGCAGCAACUUCACGGCUGCUGAGCUGAUGCAGCUGCCUGGGUAGGAUCCCGUUCGAUUUUACCGUAAUCUCCCGCCUCUUACCGUAUUGCAGCAUAGUAAAGAGCACGUUUGACAGUUGUCAACGUCUCUCUCUGCUGACUCUCCCUCCCUCCCCUUCCCUUUCCUCCACCUACUAGCUGCAAAAGCAAUGAUAGAAUUUGGUUCGUUAGCUGCAUCUCGUAAGCACGUAAAAUAAUAUUAUAGCAACAAUAUUUGGGAAAUGUUUCUGAGCUGUACAUUCACACCGGGCUCGUGUGAUACAAAGAAGAAUAGGGAAAUGCAGAAAAGGAAAAAAAGAACAGAGGGGGUGAUGUUAGAAGUAUUGUAAAAAGCUUGGUGUUUUUUUUACGCAGAGGAAACUGUCACGAUUUUUCUUGCUUUGGAGUACAUUCAGAGGACCUGUUUAUCGAGCAUUUUCCUUGACUUCUUUGCAGGAAGGUCUGAUAAUAUUGUAUCAACCAAGUGCCAUCGCACACUUCUCGGCGCAUUUUCCUUAUCGCAAAAAGUCCAAUCUUUCAGGGAAGCGGGUUUAUUGUGCAAGGCUUCCCUGUCAGCUGUAAUGGAGCAGCCUGAAUUUGCUGGCAUGUGAUUGAACGGUCCUCAAAAUAUCAGCAGCUUGGAAGUGCCAUUAAUUAAAAAACAAAGCGAGACGAAUGUGACCUCUCCUACUAUCAGCACUGCGGUGCACAUUCGCUGGCAAAAUGUGUUCAAGCGGCUGUCAACCACACUUGCAAUUUGGGGCCAGCCUCUCCCACCUGAUUUACCCCAGCAAAGAACUUGCUUGAUUGAAGAUAAUAGGCUUGAAAAGAAUUCAUUUAAAGAAUAAAAGCUUCUUCUCCGAGUAGGAAAACUACUAGUUGAAAAGAAAAGAAAAAUCGGGGCAGCUAUUCCACCCCCCAUGCGAGUGCUCUGAAGACCAUCCAUCUGAUUUUGCUUAUUCUGAGCACCGCAUGUUCUCUACUUUUUCACAGUAAUGAAAACCCUUAUUGAUCGAUUCCCCUUCAGCUUCUAAAACUCGCACAAGCACUGUCUUGCCUUUUUCUUUCUUUGAACCUGCGCCUGGAAAUAAGGCAGCUCCACCAAGAAAGGGAGGCUGAAAAACUCUACUGGAGUCCCACUGGGGAAUGGAUUUCUGUGCACUCAAAGUGAGGGCUUCGAAAUCCUGAAAUGACAAUGACAUGUGAAAAGCUGGCCAACAGAAUGUAUCAGAGCCACUACAUAGAGGGUUUGGCACAUGGCAUCAGCUGGGGCACACAGCCACCACCAAUGCCAGACGUGAGCACAUGGCUCAGCUCUAAGAUCAGUCCUAAGUUAUUUUCUAUUUGCACAGGACAGCACUGCAUUAAAAAGACUAUUGAUGCACACUGGUGCAUCUUGCUAAUGCUGGGAGCUUGCUGGGGCAACCCAAUCAGAAGGGCACGGUACAAAUAAAAAUAAAAUAAAAUAAAAUAAAAAUAAUACAAAUUAACUGAAGGAACUGAAAGGCAGGCAAGCUCCAAUUCCUAGAAAUUCCUAACGCUAAACCAGAAUUCAGGAGGCAAAGGAAGCUGAGGACAUCCUCUAGUUCUUAGAUAUCACUUGAUGUUGCAGUCAUCAAAUGAUGAAUUUGCUUAUGGGAAUCAGUUUGUAUACUGCCAGUAAUGUGGUUCAAGCAGGGAAAAGUAGGCAUUAUAUUUCCUGUUCUUAAUGCAUGAAUCUGGUGGUUUUGAGGCAGAGUUUGGUUUGGAUGAAAGAAGGCUUAUCAAGUGAUCCACACACAUAGAUCCUGAGGAACAGAUCUGAACUGGAUUUAAUUUAUAAAUCCACUACACAGAAUGGCACAUAGGAUUGUUUUCUGUUUUUGGUUUUUUUGAUUGCAUCAGUACCGCUUUCUCAGCACCAUAGAAGAAUAUCUAUAAACUGGAGUCAGGUAGGUAGCUGUGUUGGUCUGAUGUAGUCAAAAUUAAAAAAAAUAUUAAAAGUUGUCCAGUAGCACGUUAUAGACCAACUAAGUUUGUUGUGGUAUAAGCUUUCAUGUGCAAGAUGUGUGCAUGCGCAUGAAAGCUUAUACCAGAACAAACCUAGUUGGUCUAUAAGGUGCUACUGGACAUUUUUUUUAUUUUUAUAUAAACUGGAGUGUAUUUAGAGCAGGGUGACAGAGAUUGUGAGGGGCCUGGAGAAAUGAUUGAAGGAGCUGCUAAGAAGCAAUUAGGUAAGAAACAGUAGCCUGGAUAAGAAACAGGUAAGAGGCAAUAUGUGAAGGGCUAUCACAUGGAACAAAUUUGUUUUCUGUUUUUCCAGGGAGUGGGACUAAAAUGAAUGGGCUCAGAUGACAAGGUGAUUUCUACCAAACACUAGAGAAAAAAUGAUAGUGAUACAGGCUGUAUGACAACAGAGUGGGUGGUGUAUUUUCCUUCAUUGGAGGUUUUAAAGGAGAGGCUCAAUGACCACCGAAACAUAAUGUUGUAAUAUUGGAUAUAGGAACCUAGCAAGCUUCCUAAGGGUCCAUUUAGUUCAGCACUGACUAGCAGGGUUCUCCAGGAUUUCCGAUAGAGGUCUCUCCCAUGAUGCCAGGAACUGAACCUGAGAUCUUCUGCAUGUAACCACUGAACUAAGGCACUUCCCCUGUAAGGUGAGUUGCAUUGGUGGGGCUGGAAUAGAAGACCUGCAAAGUCCUAUUCAGGUCCAUAACUCUGUGAUUCAGUAGCCAAGGACUGAAAUGCAUAGGUGUAGGAUCACCAGCCUUUGGGGAAUUCUGUAUACAUUUGCAAACUGGUUGACAUUAUAUGCAACACCCCAAAUCAAAGAAUGGAUGGAUAAAAUAUAGGAUUUUGCUAAGCAGACAAAUUUCUUAAAAUAUCAAGAAGGAAGAGAGAGGAAGGGCAUUUUAUUAUUAUUUUUUGUAAAGUUGAAGGCGUGUUGAUUACAGUAAAAGAUGCCAUUUAUUACCACACAUAUGUUUUGAGUUCGCAAUGUAUUCAUGGCUAAUUUGGUAGUAAGUAGUAAGCAUUGCAGUACACACACUGCAUGCCUUUACUAGUUUUAAAUGUGCUUUGGGAAAUAGUCCUAGACUGAUUAGGUGUAGUGGCUUUCUCCUGGCACAAUAAGCAAUUUCCUAUCAAUUUCUUGUUCUGUUAUCACCUAUGUAUUAACAUUGUCAAAUGAUGUUGAGUAGUAAAUUAUGAAAAAAGGGAGAGAAGGCAAUCAGCAGCUAUCUCAGAACAUGUGGAGGAUGUGCUCUCACCAGUGGCGUAGCGUGGGGGGUGCAGGGGGGGCCGGCCGCACCGGCCGCAACAUCUGGGGGGCACGCGCUCGCACUCGCAGCUCUCUGCCCCUACCAGGUUAGGGGGCGCAAAUUACUUGCCUUGCCCCGGGUGCUGACAACCCAUGCUACGCCACUGGCUCUCACCCCUGUGUCCCUGUCCCCACUGGCCUGGGUGUGCAUCCUGGAGUUUUCCAAGUGGUUGGGAACCUGCACAAUUGAGAUUCCCAGUGAUCCAGAGGAUUCGAGUUGUGUUUGGCUGGGUGUGUGAGGAUUCCCUCUUUGGACCUUCCCACUCAGUGGAUAAGGGUCUGGGGUGGGGUUGCUGGCGAUGGGGAUGUUGUGGGAAGGCUAUCUUAUAUUGCUUUCUGUCACCUGCAGAUAAGCCCACUGGGUGUUAAUGUAGAAGUGGCUUCUUCUUAUGAGGGUGUUUUGCAAGAGAGACAUUUUUACAUGCAGCUGCAGAGUAAUAUGUAGUUAUGCCCUGAGUCAUUUGGAGGAAGUGUUAGUUACAAAGGAGCUCAAGAAAAAAAUGAGUCUUCAGCACUGUCGCAGUUUUGAUUUUUUUUUUUUUUAGCAAACCACACAAAUCUAAGAUCUUUUCUUCUUCUCUUUCUCUCUCUCUCUGAAAGAUAUUUGAGACCUUGUCCUGAAUACUGAGCAUGCUAUAUAACAAAAUCCAGACAAGUAAGGACUAGUUGAAGGAAGGUUUUUGUUUUUACUGCAAACCUUCUGCACAAAAAUUUCCUAUAAGGGUCAAAAGCCUAGCCGGUGUUUUUGCUCAAAUGCUUUGAAAUGUAGCAAGUGAUGAUGUCCCAGAUUGCGUGGAUUGGGAGAAUCUCUGGGUUUCAUGUCCAUAGUAUGCAGUUUGUAGCAAAUGUUACAUUUGAGUGGAUAGAAAGCAAGACAAGCACUUGAUACAAUCAUCUAUAAUAGUUGAUGGAAAUAUUUCUGCCAACCUCCAGGCGUAAACUAGGCCAUCACAUGUCACUGUGGAAGUUUCCUUGGUUUCUUGAGUGACUGCCAUUACAGACCACUACUCAAUUGUAGAGAUGGACUUUCACAUAUGUGCACCAACGAGUAAUCUCUGUGUUAUUCUGUAAUUUAUUUUUUUAAGAAAGCACAUUAAAAUGCACAUACAAAUAUUUCUAAAUGAAUUUUCUCUCAAAAGAUGCGAUUCUAUACGUGUUUUCUCUCAAAAAUAACCACUUUGGUUGAAAAGUCAUAUUUAAGGAAUAUACAGUAAAGGUAUCAAUGGCUCCUAGCCACCAUGGCUGUGUUCUGCAUUCACUGUCAGCGGCAGUAUGCCUCUGAAUACCAGUUGCAGGAAUCACAAGUGCUGUUGUGCUCUGUGCUCCGUUUGUGGGAAUCCCAUAGGCAUCUGGUUGGCCACCAAGAGAAGAAGAUGCUGGAAUUUAUUUUAAGCAUCUAUAUACUGUACAACUUAAUAUUUUAAAAAUCUAAGCUGUGUGGGCGAUUAGCCUGGGUGGACCAAUGGCCUGAUCCAGUAGGCUCUUCUUAGGUUCUUCUAUCCUUGGGAUGCUAUUCUAAGUUGGGAAGGCAUGGGAAACUGAAGUAACUAAGUCUUCCCUAUGUCAUGCACUGUUGGUCUCAUGCCAACUUCAUAUAUAUAUCGUUGCCUGCCACCAAUGUUACACCCCAGUCUCCACAGUGGUGUCAGAUUCCAAGGAUUCCAGGCAUGCUUACCCUGUGUUUCCUUUUGGAAAUGAGGCACAGAGGAGACUGUGGUGUCUGUAUGAUAUGUGGUUUAUUUACACAUAUAUACAAGCUGAGACUAUUUUGGAGGGGUUCACAGCAUUAGCACCCCAAGAGAGUGAUGCUUCUCCCAAAGGCCUUGCCUCCAGCUCUUCUGUUUCUCCGUCACCUACUCCUCACUCUAACCUUUGGCUUUAACUGCGGAGUAAAAGGGGCCCAUCCCUUUGGUGCCUCACACAGGUCCUAGUCUGACACUAUAACCACUACACCACACUGACUGGACACUGCUACAAGAGUGUGACUGCAAGACUUCAUCUGAGCCUCAGGAACUACCAUGGAGCCAGCUCUGAAGUUUUCUAAUAGAGGAGUGAUCCUUUAGGUGCAGAGUACAUUUAUUUAAUCAGUGAGUAACCACAGCUAGCCUUUCAGCCCCUGUGAUUACUGGGCAAAGUUCCUGACAGGCCAAGAGCACAUGGUUUCCUGGCAGGUACACUUGCCCCAUCAUCUCUCUUUUGAGAACUUAAUUAAUGUGCAGGCAGGCAUCCUCCCCCAAUGUCAUACUCAUCCUGCUCAUACUCAUCACAGAAAGGAAAGGGGACCCCCUGCAGUGGGAACUCCAUGGGAGGGGGCCACCAGUGUCCGCCUGCACAGCAGGUUGCAGAGGGGAGUGUGGGAAGUCGAAGGGGAGGCUAAGAGUCAUUCCUGGCUCUUUUGUCCUUACAUGGUAUUGCUGAUAUCUUUUUUUUUCUUUCUUUUUCUUUUUCAGCAUCAUUAGGCUCAAAGGAACUGCUGAGUGCUCUCAGUUAAGUAAUUACUUCAUUUCAUAGAGAUUAAUGACACUUGCAAUGUUUCACUGACAAACACAGGUAUGGGAAGGCAGCUCCAGGGAAGAUAGCAAUUAUCAAAAGGGAGGAAUGGGGAGGUGGAAUUGUGCUUUGGAAACGUGAGUGUGGCAGCGUUGCCAAAGCAUCCGUGUUCUCAUACGCAGGCAAGAAUUGAAAGCCCUUUUUGUUCUCUCUGAUGCAGAUGUAUGGGAAUUCAGUGCUGUCCAGUAAACAACUUGAUCCAAACCCAAGAUCCACCAGGAGGAGUGAGUUUGGAAUAGAGGGUGCUUGGGCUAAGCCAGCUAAAGUGCUGGCUCAGUCGAAGGAACACUGAUGUAACUCCUGCAUCCUGGCUGAGCCAGUGAUUAGCCAGCUCAGAUGAAGCCUGAACAGACACAGGUGUAAAGCUGUUUUAAAGGUUUGUUUCCUCUUUAUCUGGCUUGGGCUAGUUCAGCUGGGAGUAGCCCUGUGCCUGAAUGAGCUUGGAACAGGAGGAAGUUACACAGCCAUGAUUUGUGUUGUUGUUUAGUCGUGUCCGCCUCUUCGUGACCUCGUGGACCAGAGCACGCCAGGCACUCCUGUCUUCCACUGCCUCCCGCAGUUUGGUCAAACUCAUGCUGGUAGCUUCGAGAACACUAUCCAACCAUCUUGUCCUCUGUCGUCCCCUUCUCCUUGUGCCCUCCAUCUUUCCCAACAUCAGGGUCUUUUCCAGGGAGUCUUCUCUUCUCAUGAGGUGGCCAAAGUAUUGGAGCCUCAGCUUCACGAUCUGUCCUUCCAGUGAGCACUCAGGGCUGAUUUCCUUCAGAAUGGAUAGGUUUGAUCUUCUUGCGGUCCAUGGGACUCUCAAGAGUCUCCUCCAGCACCAGAAUUCAAAAGCAUAAAUUCUUCGGCAAUCAGCCUUCUUUAUGAUCUAGCUCUCACUUCCAUACAUCACUACUGGGAGAACCAUAGCUUUUACUAUACGGACCUUUGUUGGCAAGGUGAUGUCAUUGAAAAGCCAUGAUUUACUCUGGUGUAAAUCACAUAAAUUAUGGCCAGCAAGAUUAAAGCAGGAGAAGAAUGCAGAGUAGGGGCAGGAAACCUUUAUUAGCCUGAGGGCCACAUUCACUUCUCGGUACGUUUUUGGAGGCCACAUGUUCAUGGUUGGUGGUACCAGAGGCAACUGUGGGCAGAGCAAUGAAUACAAAUAUUAGCCACUGUACAGCAGGCCACUUUCUGUACACCUUUUCUCUAGUCUCUGGAGGGUGGACAUAAAUACUUCUCUGUCUUGAUUUACAAUCACAGCUGGAAAAUAAGGGGUUUCCCCCCUCACACACUUUCCAUUUAUUGUGGUAUAAUUGUUGUUCUCUCCCACCACAGAUUUCUUGGCAUGCUACUACACUAUGACAUCAUUAUUUAGCUAAUAAUGUAUUAAUAAUGUAUCCCAUUUUUAAUUCCACUGCAAAAAUAAUAACUUUAAUGAAAGAUAAGAAUGAAUUCUCAAUAUUUUCUUUGAGUGGGAUGUGUACAAACAUCAUCCCAGUUUCUGUGUGGUGGGGAUGGUUUGUGAGACAUCUGUUUUGUGUCACUUCCCUCUGACUUGUGCUAGCUGUCAGUUUGUGAACUUAGUUUAGAUGAGAGAUAUGUAAGAUGGAAAUGAUGGUACUAAGUCUUAGUCCUGCCCAUAACAGCAAUAAUUAGCUGCAGACAAAAUUCCUUCACAGUAACCAGAUUUACCAGGCAGACACAAGGUUAGAAUUCCAGAAUACUAGGGAUUAUUAUUUUUUUAUUUAAAAAAUCCCCAAAAGAAAGAACAGUGUGAAAGGGCUCUGCCCAUGCUCAUAGUUGAGCGUGCUCAUAAUUGCAACAUUUAUUGGCUGGAGGAACAUGAGGGUACGUAAAGCACCACAUAGCCUGUGAUUUCAAUUGUUAUUUUGACUUAUUGAUAACUCACUGAUUUUUCUUUAAACCACAGAACAGCAAAGAUCCUCCUUGAUUUUAAACUGGUAGAGAAGUGGCCACAGAAAAACAAAUAUACAUUACAGAAGAGCUGAGCCUUCAGCAUUGCAAUUUUGGGAAGUAUCCCUAAUUUGAAGAGUUGUUGGCAGAUUUUCUGCUGCUCACAAUAGCAAACAUAUCCAGCUUUCCUUAGUGAAAAAAAAUGCAUUACUAGUGCAAUCCCUCCAGUAAAAAUUAUGCUGAGUAAUCACAGACAACUCAGCUCAACUAGGCCCUGAAGGGAUGUGUAGCUAUAUCAGCAUGUAGCAAACUUGCUUGUGUGUUGACCCUGAGAUCACAGAGGCAAACACAUAAUGGCGGAGUGGGAAGCAGAAGUCAGGAUGCAAGAUGGCAGUCAGAGAAGAUAGAGCAGAGUGUUAAAGCUAUAUCCUCACAAUGGAAACAACACAUUGGUUCAGACCUAUGGCAAGUGUUCUUUCCGUCACCUAGACCAGUGGUUCUCAAACGUUACUUGCUACAGACCACUUGAAAAUUUCUGAGGGUCUUAGUAGACCUCAUAAUGAUUUUUGUGCCUGUUUCAUGAAUUGUAAUUUCAUAGAAUAUUGUAAUGCAAUAUGUAAAGCAUAAUUCAAAAUUAAAUUACCCCCCCCCCAAAAAAAACCCAAUGGAAACAACACAGCCAGUUUGUUAAAUUGCAUUGAAGAUGCAUGAGGACAGCUUUCUUUUUCUGGGAAAGAUUUCUCCUGACUUAAGCUGCAGAUCAUUCUUGCAAAAGGCUAUUCUUUCAUUUUGAGAUUAAUACUUACCUUUUGCCAUCCUUGUGGCCCCAGGGUUCAUCAUUCUAGAACUUUGUAGCUUUGCUCCACCCAAUAUUUCUAUCACCAGACAAUAUACAGCUAUUGUCUUGUCUUCCCUUUAAAGCUUCCAUCUCCCUCUUGUGUCUAAAUAGCAACUUUGGGCUGCCUAUUUUUCUAAACUGUUGAAGGCACGUCAAUAAAUAGACAGAUCACUUUUUAUCCAAAGAGGUGCACUGACCAUUUAAAUUCUUUUUUAAAAAAAUGCAAGCUCAAAACUCAAUUUUGCUAACACUACCUUUAGGGGAACAGCUCUGUGUCAGCAACAUUACGCUAUAUAGUAUUUAAAAAGGAGACAUGAAAUGUUGUGCAGCAUGGCCAAUUUAUCGAAGUUUGUCAAGAAAUAUGGUUUCCCAUUAGUUGCUGACUAUAUAUCUUGUUUAAACUCCUUUAAAGCAGAAAAGUCCCAAAGAAAUAGCUGUGUGAGCCACUACUUUUCAAUAAGAAGCCCAAUUGCUAACCAGCUUUGGUGCACAGUUUCUGCUUGUACUUUGGGUCUGUGCCCUAAAGAAUUUGAAAGGCUGUUUCAGGGUUGACCUUUAUCAAAAGAAAAAUUACCAUUGUCGUACUUCUGACAGCAGCUUUUUUAAAGGCAUGAGGUGGCUCUUAUAGAGAUGUGAGAGAAAUUAAAUUCACUUCACAUUUAAAGGUAAACCUACCUCAUUCACACUUUCCACAACAAGAACCAAAGCAAAGCCAUUUAUUGAAAUUCGCACUGCUCCGAGUUUUUCAGUGCAGUUCCUCAGUCAAGGACCGUGUACAAAAAUGCACGUGGUUGGCUAAUGUGUCCAUAAAAGUGUAUAUAUAGAUGAAAAUAACUUACAGAGAUGCAAUAUAAUAGUGAAAACCGCUUUGCAAACAUGGUAUAUAUUAGGAAAAAUUGCAUACAAAUUUGUGUUUGGUAAGAGAAAUUCACACUAAAAUACUGGUUCAUUUUCAAUGGGAUUUUUUAUUAAAUCACAAAUCAAUACAGAAAUGUGGAGAAGUAUAUAUUAUGUUGGAAAAAUGAGAAACUUUCAAGUUGCUGCAUUUCCCCUCUUUAUUUUAUUUCAGGCCAUCCUCCAAAGCUGCUUAUGUUCACCCUCAACCCAACAUCUGCUAAGCUGGACGCUGGACACAGAAUUGGCUGUUGCCUAUCCUCACUUGAACAUGCCAAUCUGAGCACUACAACAAGCCAAAUGAUUGCAUGGCAUAAAUGAAAAUAUCCUUGUGAAAAGGGGAGGGAACUGUGCAAGG